CUUGAAAGCCUGUCCGUCGCUGGCAACAAUCCUUCUACUAUUUUGGAUUUUUCGUGGAGCAUUCGUCGAACUUGAGGUAAGCAGCCAGAGGUUCUCUCUUGGUAAGAAACUUUUCUCCCCUCCUUGCCUCUAUAUGCAAUUUUCCUUUGCCAAGUGCUGGGAUGUUGCAGCUUGAAGAAAUUUGGUAAGGGGAAGAGACCUGAUAAGGGUUAUGAUUUAACUUUAUCUACUGUGCCAUGGAGAAGAUGAUGCUGCUAUUGAUUCAUAGUUUUCUUUUUUAUCGAAUGUGUGGG
Molecule: long non-coding RNA, 293 nt
Filed under: Elaeis guineensis (African oil palm)
Lineage: Eukaryota; Viridiplantae; Streptophyta; Magnoliopsida; Arecales; Arecaceae
Description: long non-coding RNA (EGUI_LNC036129)
Source: RNAcentral